Trichophaea hybrida is the source of this 71-nucleotide non-coding RNA. The record is from the annotation of a GenBank genome assembly. NCBI's taxonomy places the organism in Eukaryota, Fungi, Ascomycota, Pezizomycetes, Pezizales, Pyronemataceae.
GCGCCGGUAGCCCAGUGGUAGAGCGUCCGUCUAGUUUAGGAAGGCCAUAGGUUCGACUCCUAGCCAGUCCA